RNAcentral lists this ribosomal RNA (460 nucleotides) under uncultured bacterium. Its description in RNAcentral is "partial 16S ribosomal RNA". It matches the Rfam family "Bacterial small subunit ribosomal RNA", at positions 338 to 795 of the family's 1533-position model. The record is from RNAcentral.
CCUACGGGUGGCAGCAGUGAGGAAUAUUGGUCAAUGGGCGUAAGCCUGAACCAGCCAAGUCGCGUGAGGGAUGAAGGUUCUAUGGAUCGUAAACCUCUUUUAUAAGGGAAUAAAGUGCGGGACGUGUCCCGUUUUGUAUGUACCUUAUGAAUAAGGAUCGGCUAACUCCGUGCCAGCAGCCGCGGUAAUACGGAGGAUCCGAGCGUUAUCCGGAUUUAUUGGGUUUAAGGGGAGCGUAGGCCGCAUGUCAAGCGUGCUGUGAAAUGUCCGGGCUCAACCCGGGCCUUGCAGCGCGAACUGGCGUGCUUGAGUCCGCGGAAAGCAGGCGGAAUUCGUCGUGUAGCGGGGAAAUGCUUAGAUAUGACGAAGAACCCCGAUUGCGAAGGCAGCUUGCUGCAGCGGAACUGACGCUGAUGCUCGAAAGCGCGGGUAUCGAACAGGAUUAGAUACCCUUGUAGUC